This 253-nucleotide ribosomal RNA is filed under the name uncultured bacterium. RNAcentral describes it as "partial 16S ribosomal RNA". It matches the Rfam family "Bacterial small subunit ribosomal RNA", at positions 333 to 578 of the family's 1533-position model. The record is from RNAcentral.
CUGGUCCUACGGGGCGCAGCAGUAGGGAAUCUUCCACAAUGGACGAAAGUCUGAUGGAGCAACGCCGCGUGAGUGAGGAAGGGUUUCGGUUCGUAAAGCUCUGUUGGUAGUGAAGAUAGGUCGAGGUAGUAACUGGCCUUUAUUUGACGGUAAUUACUUAGAAAGUCACGGCUAACUACGUGCCAGCAGCCGCGGUAAUACGUAGGUGGCAAGCGUUGUUCGGGUUUAUUGGGCGUAAAGCGAGUGCAGGCGG